CGGGUGGAUCCGCNAAGUCGCCGCUCGGGAUUCAGCGCGGCGUGCGGCCCGGGGCUGCCGGUGGCGGAGAUCCCCGUCCCCNNNNGGGCGAACUCUGCCGGCCGGUGCCGACCCGGGCCCCGCCGCGUGCACUUUCCGAGCCGGUGAGCGCUACGACCGGUUCUCCGCAGCGACAAGCCCGUGGGGAAGGUAGGCGCCGCGACGUUCUUUCGUUCGAAGCGGUGCUGUUAUAGCCCCGCGGGGAGCCGCCUGCCGCUGGGGACCGAGGGACGGCCGCGCCCGAUCGGGCGCGUCCGGCCGGCGCGGGGAGUCAUGCUCUCGACUGGCGGGGACUGGGCAACCGUGCCCGCCGACCGCUCCCCGUGCUCGGUUCGGAGCCGCGCGGGCGCCGAGGGUCAGUGGCGAGUNUUCGGCCUUCCACCC
This 423-nucleotide ribosomal RNA is filed under the name Acteon tornatilis. RNAcentral describes it as "partial 28S ribosomal RNA". Lineage: Eukaryota; Metazoa; Mollusca; Gastropoda; Acteonidae. The record is from RNAcentral.